UACGAAGGGGGCUAGCGUUGCUCGGAAUCACUGGGCGUAAAGCGCACGUAGGCGGAUUGUUAAGUCAGGGGUGAAAUCCUGGAGCUCAACUCCGGAACUGCCUUUGAUACUGGGGAUCUUGAGUCCGGAAGAGGUGAGUGGAACUCCGAGUGUAGAGGUGAAAUUCGUAGAUAUUCGGAAGAACACCAGUGGCGAAGGCGGCUCACUGGUCCGGUACUGACGCUGAGGUGCGAAAGCGUGGGGAGCAAACAGG
Molecule: ribosomal RNA, 253 nt
Filed under: uncultured bacterium
Lineage: Bacteria
Description: partial 16S ribosomal RNA
Rfam family: Bacterial small subunit ribosomal RNA
Source: RNAcentral